RNAcentral lists this transfer RNA (74 nucleotides) under Solirubrobacterales bacterium. Its description in RNAcentral is "tRNA-Thr". It matches the Rfam family "tRNA". Rfam says of the family: Transfer RNA (tRNA) molecules are approximately 80 nucleotides in length. Their secondary structure includes four short double-helical elements and three loops (D, anti-codon, and T loops). Further hydrogen bonds mediate the characteristic L-shaped molecular structure. tRNAs have two regions of fundamental functional importance: the anti-codon, which is responsible for specific mRNA codon recognition, and the 3' end, to which the tRNAs corresponding amino acid is attached (by aminoacyl-tRNA synthetases). tRNAs cope with the degeneracy of the genetic code in two manners: having more than one tRNA (with a specific anti-codon) for a particular amino acid; and 'wobble' base-pairing, i.e. permitting non-standard base-pairing at the 3rd anti-codon position. The record is from RNAcentral. Lineage: Bacteria; Bacillati; Actinomycetota; Thermoleophilia; Solirubrobacterales.
GCCGGAGUAGCUCAGAUGGUCAGAGCAGCCGCCUUGUAAGCGGCAGGUCAGGGGUUCGAAUCCCCUCUCCGGCU